GAUGAACGCUGGCGGCGUGCCUAAUACAUGCAAGUCGAGCGAACAGACGAGGAGCUUGCUCCUCUGACGUUAGCGGCGGACGGGUGAGUAACACGUGGAUAACCUACCUAUAAGACUGGGAUAACUUCGGGAAACCGGAGCUAAUACCGGAUAAUAUAUUGAACCGCAUGGUUCAAUAGUGAAAGACGGUUUUGCUGUCACUUAUAGAUGGAUCCGCGCCGCAUUAGCUACUUGGUAAGGUAACGGCUUACCAAGGCAACGAUGCGUAGCCGACCUGAGAGGGUGAUCGGCCACACUGGAACUGAGACACGGUCCAGACUCCUACGGGAGGCAGCAGUAGGGAAUCUUCCGCAAUGGGCGAAAGCUUGACGGAGCAACGCCGCGUGAGUGAUGAAGGUCUUCGGAUCGUAAAACUCUGUUAUUAGGGAAGAACAAAUGUGUAAGUAACUAUGCACGUCUUGACGGUACCUAAUCAGAAAGCCACGGCUAACUACGUG
RNAcentral lists this ribosomal RNA (497 nucleotides) under uncultured bacterium. RNAcentral's name for it is "partial 16S ribosomal RNA". It matches the Rfam family "Bacterial small subunit ribosomal RNA", at positions 28 to 507 of the family's 1533-position model. The record is from RNAcentral.